UGUGAUCAAGCUACUAAGGGUAUACGGUGGAUGUCUAGGCGUGAUGAGGCGAUGAAGGACGCGGCAGGCUGCGAAAAGCCCAGGGGAGCUGUCAAACGAGCUUUGAUCCUGGGAUCUCCGAAUGGGGCAACCCGGCGCCACAGUGCAAGCUGAUGGCGUCACCGGCGGCUGAAUGCAUAGGCCGUCGGGGCGAACGCAGGGAACUGAAACAUCUAAGUACCUGCAGGAAAGGAAAUCAACAAGGGCUGCGCGGGCGAUUCGUCGCUCGCGGAGCCCGGAGACUCCGUCAGUAGCGGCGAGCGAAAGCGGAUCAGCCCAAACCCGCCGAAAGGCGGGGGUUGCGGGCGCCGAUCGGGAGUUACAAAGGCAGCGGCAGCCGAAGAGUCUGGAAAGGCUCACCACAGAAGGUGACAGUCCUGUAGGCAAAACCGCCAGCCCUCCGCGGGGCUCCUGCGGGCGUUAGUCCGCGGGGGCCCUAACGGUUGGCGUUCCAGAGUAGCGCGGAGCUCGUGGAACUCCGUGUGAAACUGGGGGGCCCACCCUCCAAGGCUAAGUACUCCAUCACGACCGAUAAAGGACAAGUAGGGCGACCGAACGAUGAAAAGAACCCCUAUUAGGGGAGUGAAAAGUACCUGAAACCGUAUACCUACAAGUGGUCGGAGCCCUAUGCCCCGGUCUUCGGGCCGGGGAACGGGUGACGGCGUACCUUUUGCAUAAUGGACCGGCGAGUUGCCGUUUGCGGCCUGCCUAAGUCCCUCAGGGACGGAGGCACAGCGAAAGCGAGUCUGAACAGGGCGUGGGCGCCUUUGGCGCCCGGGUCGCAGGUGGCAGACCCGAAACCGAGUGAUCUACCCAUGGCCAGGUUGAAUCCGUCGUAACAGGCGGAGGAGGACCGAACCCGUUGACGUUGAAAAGUCAUGGGAUGAGCUGUGGGGAGGAGUAAAAGUCUAAUCAAACUCGGAGAUAUCUGGUUCUCUUCGAAAUAGCUUUAGGGCUAGCCUCGGGACACUACGUCGUGGGGGUAGAGCACUGGAUGAAACGCGGGACCCACCAGGUUGCCGCCUUCAACCAAACUCCGAAUACCACGACAGGGCCCCUUCGGGGACCCGCCAUUAUCCCGGGAGUCAGACUGCGGGGGAUAAGCUCCGUGGUCAAGAGGGAAACAGCCCAGACCGCCAGCUAAGGUCCCAAAACGGUGCUAAGUGGUUAAGGAAGUCGAAUUGCUGAGACAGCCAGGAUGUUGGCUUAGAAGCAGCCACCAUUUAAAGACCGCGUAAUAGCCCACUGGCCGAGCAACUCGGCGCCGAUAAUGAUCGGGGCUCAAGCAUCGUACCGAAGCUGCGGACCCGCGGUAGUAGGGUGGCUACGGUCCCGGCGCGAGCCGGGAAGGCGGCUUUGAAGGCCGCUGCUGCGGGUGGUAGGAGAGCGUUGCUGCCGGCGCUGAAGCGGUACCGCAAGGAGCCGUGGAGCGGCAGCAAGUGAGAAUGCCGGUAUGAGUAACGAUAAAGCAGGUGAGAAUCCUGCUCGCCGAAAGCCUAAGGUUUCCUGGGGAAGGUAAAUCCGCCCAGGGUUAGUCGGACCCUAAGCCGAGGCCGAAAGGCGUAGGUGAUGGACGGCAGGUUAAUAUUCCUGCACUGUGCGCCGAAGGUUUGCACCAGAGGAGUGACGCAUCGCCAAGGUGGAUCGCGUGGUUAGUCGCGCGCGUUGGGGGCGGCGGGGUGAUCGGAUGAACAGUCCGAUCGCCAGCCUCGCCGCCAGCUCGAGGCCGAUUUGGUUGCCGAAGUCCGCGGAGGCGGUGCCAAGAAAAUCUUCGCUGGGACGACGGUGCGCACCCGUACUAAAACUGACACAGGUAGGCGAGGAGAGAAUCCUAAGGCGCUCGAGAGAACCGUCCUUAAGGAACUAGGCAAUUUGACCCCGUAACUUCGGGAUAAGGGGUCCCUCCUCGGCCGGCUGCAACCCUGUAGCGGGCCGAGAGGGCGCAGAGAAACGGCUCUGGCGACUGUUUAUCAAAAACACAGGUCUCUGCCAACUCGCAAGAGGAUGUAUAGAGACUGACGCCUGCCCGGUGCCGGAAGGUUAAGGAAGCAGGUCAUUCCGACUUGUCGGGAGAAGCUUGCGACCGAAGCCCCGGUAAACGGCGGCUCUAACUAUGAGAGUCCUAAGGUAGCGAA
RNAcentral lists this ribosomal RNA (2174 nucleotides) under Phycisphaerae bacterium SM23_33. RNAcentral's name for it is "bacterial LSU rRNA". It matches the Rfam family "Bacterial large subunit ribosomal RNA", at positions 1 to 1963 of the family's 2925-position model. The record is from RNAcentral. Lineage: Bacteria; Pseudomonadati; Planctomycetota; Phycisphaerae.